GGACUACCGGGGUAUCUAAUCCCGUUCGCUACCCUAGCUUUCGCGCCUCAGCGUCAGAAGAGGUCCAGACUGUCGCUUUCGCCACUGGCGUUCCCGCCGAUAUCAACACAUUUCACCGCUCCACCGGCAGUUCCACAGUCCUCUAUCUCCCUCGAGCGACGCAGUACUGGGAGCGAUUCCACGGUUGAGCCGAUGGGAUUUCACUUCCAACUUACGCCGCCGCCUACGCGCUCUUUAAGCCCAAUGAUUCCGAAUAACGUUUGCACGGUUCGUCUUACCGCGGCUGCUGGCAC
This 293-nucleotide ribosomal RNA is filed under the name uncultured Planctomycetota bacterium. RNAcentral describes it as "uncultured planctomycete partial 16S ribosomal RNA". The record is from RNAcentral. Lineage: Bacteria; Pseudomonadati; Planctomycetota.